Molecule: ribosomal RNA, 487 nt
Filed under: uncultured bacterium
Lineage: Bacteria
Description: partial 16S ribosomal RNA
Rfam family: Bacterial small subunit ribosomal RNA
Source: RNAcentral
GAUGAACGCUAGCUACAGGCUUAACACAUGCAAGUCGCGGGGCAGCAUGGGGGUUGCUUGCAAUCCCCGAUGGCGACCGGCGCACGGGUGAGUAACGCGUAUCCAACCUGCCCUUCACCACGGGAUAACCCGGCGAAAGUCGGACUAAUACCGUAUGUUGUCCAUUGACGGCAUCCGAUUUGGACGAAAGGCUUGGCGGUGAGGGAUGGGGAUGCGUCCGAUUAGCCAGACGGCGGGGUAACGGCCCACCGUGGCUACGAUCGGUAGGGGUUCUGAGAGGAAGGUCCCCCACACUGGAACUGAGACACGGUCCAGACUCCUACGGGAGGCAGCAGUGAGGAAUAUUGGUCAAUGGGCGUAAGCCUGAACCAGCCAAGUAGCGUGCAGGAUGACGGCCCUAUGGGUUGUAAACUGCUUUUAUGCGGGGAUAAAGUGGCCCACGUGUGGGCUGUUGCAGGUACCGCAUGAAUAAGGACCGGCUAAUUCC